GAUGAACGCUGGCGGCGUGCCUAAUACAUGCAAGUCGAGCGAACAGAUAAGGAGCUUGCUCCUUUGACGUUAGCGGCGGACGGGUGAGUAACACGUGGGUAACCUACCUAUAAGACUGGGAUAACUUCGGGAAACCGGAGCUAAUACCGGAUAAUAUUUCGAACCGCAUGGUUCGAUAGUGAAAGAUGGUUUUGCUAUCACUUAUAGAUGGACCCGCGCCGUAUUAGCUAGUUGGUAAGGUAACGGCUUACCAAGGCGACGAUACGUAGCCGACCUGAGAGGGUGAUCGGCCACACUGGAACUGAGACACGGUCCAGACUCCUACGGGAGGCAGCAGUAGGGAAUCUUCCGCAAUGGGCGAAAGCCUGACGGAGCAACGCCGCGUGAGUGAUGAAGGCCUUCGGAUCGUAAAACUCUGUUAUUAGGGAAGAACAUACGUGUAAGUAACUGUGCACGUCUUGACGGUACCUAAUCAGAAAGCCACGGCUAACUACGUG
This 497-nucleotide ribosomal RNA is filed under the name uncultured bacterium. Its description in RNAcentral is "partial 16S ribosomal RNA". It matches the Rfam family "Bacterial small subunit ribosomal RNA", at positions 28 to 507 of the family's 1533-position model. The record is from RNAcentral.